This is a non-coding RNA of Podarcis lilfordi (Lilford's wall lizard), 268 nucleotides long. The record is from the annotation of a GenBank genome assembly. NCBI's taxonomy places the organism in Eukaryota, Metazoa, Chordata, Lepidosauria, Squamata, Lacertidae.
AUCUGCUAUGAUUAAAUGGGCACAAGAUGUUGGACAUAACAUCAUGUUUGCUGACUGGGAACAGUUAUGGACCACAGGUAUGAAGUUUACGGCAUGUAAUGCCCUAAGAGAGAAUAUUAUGAAAAUGAUAUACAGGUGGUACAUAACCCCAGUCAAGCUUGCAAAAAUCUACCAUCUGCCCGAUAAUAAAUGUUGGAAAUGUAAAGAAACUGAAGGUACAUUCUUUCACCUUUGGUGGACAUGCCCAAGGAUUAAGGUUUUCUGGGAG